GAUGAACGCUGGCGGCGUGCUUAACACAUGCAAGUCGAACGGAAAGGCCCAAGCUUGCUUGGGUACUCGAGUGGCGAACGGGUGCGUAACACGUGGGUGAAAUGCACUGCACUUCGGGAUAAGCCUGAGAAACUGGAACUAAUACCGGUUAGGCAUACUCCAUGGAUAUUGUGGUGGAACGUUUUGACGGUGGGGGAUGGAUACGCGGCCUAUCAGCUUGUGGGUGGGGGGUUGGCCUACCAAGGCGUUGACGCGUAGCCGGACUGAGACGGUGUUCGGCCACAUGGGGAUUGAGAUACAGCCCAGGCUCCUACGGGAGGCAGCAGUGGGGAAUAUGGCACAAUGGGAGCGAGGCUGAUGCUGCGACGCCGCGUGGGGGAUUACGGCCUUCGUGUUGUGAAUGCCUUUCGCUAGGGACGAAGCAUUUUUGUGACGGUACCUGGAGAAGAAGCACCGGCUAACUACGUG
This 468-nucleotide ribosomal RNA is filed under the name uncultured bacterium. Its description in RNAcentral is "partial 16S ribosomal RNA". It matches the Rfam family "Bacterial small subunit ribosomal RNA", at positions 28 to 507 of the family's 1533-position model. The record is from RNAcentral.